CUAUCUCCGUCCCUGAGCCCUAUUGAGAUUUCCCUUGUCCAUUUUUAUAGGACCACUAUCGAAUUUUCAACUGCAUUAAUUAUUUCUUUUAAAACAUGCCCCUGAUUAUGUUACAUCUUCUUCUGCAAAAUGUAAUACAUACGAUGAUCGAAAUAUAAACCAAUUCUCUAUCCUGAAGGGUAAACUAGUUAAACAAUACCAACUUUCUUAAAAGUUUUUGUGAUUUAGUCAACGGGAUCCUAUAUUAAGGGACGGAGGUAGUACUAUUUAUUAAAAAGUAAAAAAUUUAACACCUAGAAGCAUUGCAGAAUCGAAAAUAUUAUUUGACAAACAUAUAUAAGAUUCACUCAGGCCAACAAAUGGCUCAACUGUGGCAUGAUGCAUGUAACCAUAAGUUAAACCCAUUAUGAUACUGUAUACCAUACCGAAGCAUAUUAAAACUAACUAUAGAAUGAU
This 456-nucleotide long non-coding RNA is filed under the name Medicago truncatula (barrel medic). Its description in RNAcentral is "long non-coding RNA (MTRU_LNC008437)". The record is from RNAcentral. Lineage: Eukaryota; Viridiplantae; Streptophyta; Magnoliopsida; Fabales; Fabaceae.